This 465-nucleotide ribosomal RNA is filed under the name uncultured bacterium. RNAcentral's name for it is "partial 16S ribosomal RNA". It matches the Rfam family "Bacterial small subunit ribosomal RNA", at positions 338 to 795 of the family's 1533-position model. The record is from RNAcentral.
CCUACGGGAGGCAGCAGUAGGGAAUCUUCCACAAUGGACGAAAGUCUGAUGCAGCAACGCCGCGUGAGUGAAGAAGGGUUUCGGCUCGUAAAGCUCUGUUGGUAGGGAAGAAAGAUAGAGGUAGUAACUGGCCUUUAUUUGACGGUAAUUACUUAGAAAGUCACGGCUAACUACGUGCCAGCAGCCGCGGUAAUACGUAGGUGGCAAGCGUUGUCGGGAUUUAUUGGGCGUAAAGCGAGUGCAGGCGGUUGAAUAAGUCUGAUGUGAAAGCCUUCGGCUCAACCGGAGAAUUGCAUCAGAAACUGUUGAACUGGAGUGCAGAAGAGGAGAGUGGAACUCCAGGUGUAGCGGUGGAAUGCGUAGAUAUAUGGAAGAACACCAGUGGCGAAGGCGGCUCUCUGGUCUGCAACUGACGCUGAGGCUCGAAAGCAUGGGUAGCGAACAGGAUUAGAUACCCGUGUAGUC